Molecule: long non-coding RNA, 1407 nt
Filed under: Chrysemys picta bellii (western painted turtle)
Lineage: Eukaryota; Metazoa; Chordata; Testudines; Emydidae
Description: lncRNA (ENSCPBG00000016355.1)
Source: RNAcentral
GAAUUGCCAAAGGGCCACAGAGCCCUCCCCCCCUCACACACACUCACACACCUGCUUCCCCAUUGCAACGGCGGCGAGAAGCCCGCGGUGCAGGGGGAAGGAGGGAGUCUCCGUCCGCCUGGUUUGACUGCAGAAGGGCAGGGGCGGAGGGAGGGAGGAGGUGGUGGCCGCUGCUAGGUGCAGCCGCGUGUGUGUACGGACAGAGCGUGUGUGGGAUUGUUGCACUCGGUAACCAGGCAGCCAGGGGGCUUCCUGUCAGCCCUGCAAACACAGCCCCGGGACUCGGAGACGAGGCAGGAUCCCGCGGAGAGCCCAGGGGCCGGGGCACCGGGAGGGCGGCCGAAGAGGAGCAGAGCGCUGCGGGAGAGAGACUUCUGAGGUCUCAUGAAGGAAGGACAGUGCUGUAGCACAAUCAUUGCAAGCAAGUACUGUGCUUUCAUUGGGGGAAAGGCUGCUAUGACUCAUCGUAGGCAUUCUGUGCUCAAGCUAAGUGAUGCUUUCUAAAAGGAAGUAGUCCAAACUCUUCAUCCUGUUGAGGUCUGCGGCUUGGUGUGGAGAUUCUGUCACUGAAACCGUUCUUGCUGCAAAGAGACCAUGGCCUCCUCCAGGCUAGUGGGGAGAUCUUCCAGGGAUAUUGCUGAUGUUAUGCAAAGGCUUCAAGGUAAGUGACUGAUUCUGAAUGGCUGUAUCUGUCAUCUGUUCAUGUAGAUGACAAAUAUAAUACUCUUUAAAGCCAGAAAAGCAUUUUAAAAUGAUUUAUACAUUUCAAAAACCUACUGUUCUAAACUAAUCUAUAGGAAAAUGUUUGCUUAUGAUGUGUUUGCAGAUUUCUGGUUAUGUUUCCUCUAGUAUUACAUUAUUAAUUAUGUUUAAAAGCAUAUGGCAUUAUGCAGCAUGGUUCAUUGGAUAAGGCAGUAGAUUGGCAGUAUGGACAUCAGGGUUCUAUUCCUGGCUUUGCCCCUGACCUGCUCAGUGACCUUGGGCAAAGUCAGUUCACCUCUCUGUACCUCAGUUUCCCCAUGUGUAAAAUGGUGAUAAAGACACUUACUUUCCUUCUCUGCUUUGAGCACUACAGAUGAAAAGUCCUCAAUCAAUAUAAUAAUAAUUUAAAAAUGAUUGCUAUUACAAUAAGGUCUAGAGGCCCCAAACAAGAUUAGGGCCUCAUUGUGCUGGGUAUUGUUACAGACACACAGUAAUAGAUAGUCUCUGCCCUGAAGAACUUACAGUAUAGAGCUAAGUGUUGUUGUUGUCUGAGUUGAUAUCCUUACGAAUCAUGGGACUUCUGGUUAUUGUUGCAGUCAGUUGUCAUCAGAUAGAACUUAAUAAGUUGCUUUAAGUUCUCUUUAUCACAAACAAGCAUGGCUAACUGAAAUGAUAAUGUUCAUUAAAACUUUUUAAAGUUUAUAA